Molecule: ribosomal RNA, 253 nt
Filed under: uncultured bacterium
Lineage: Bacteria
Description: partial 16S ribosomal RNA
Rfam family: Bacterial small subunit ribosomal RNA
Source: RNAcentral
UACGUAGGGUGCGAGCGUUGUCCGGAAUUACUGGGCGUAAAGGGCGCGUAGGCGGCCUCUUAAGUCGAACGUGAAAUCCCCGGGCUCAACCCGGGAACUGCGUCCGAUACUGGGAGGCUUGAAUCCGGGAGAGGGAUGUGGAAUUCCAGGUGUAGCGGUGAAAUGCGUAGAUAUCUGGAGAAACACCGGUGGCGAAGGCGGCAUCCUGGACCGGUAUUGACGCUGAGGCGCGAAAGCCAGGGGAGCAAACGGG